UGCACAGGCCACAGACAGAGCGCAUGCAGGGGAUGAGGAGGACGCAGAGGUGGGCCUAACGGCCGCUCGAGAAGGCGGGGUCAGAGGCGAAGGGGCGUGGUCGGAAUCACACGGGCGUGGCCGAGUUUUCCCAAGAUUGGCCUAUAGUUUGCCAUAUCCAGAAUUGCGAUUCUUCUGGCUGUUCCUGCAUAAACUCAUUUUCUGGAUAAAGUAACUGGUGAAUUUGCCUUUUAAGUUCACAGUAGUAAAUGAAAGGAAUCCCCUGUGUACCACCAGGAACGGCCAUGUGAGGACGUAGCUAGAAGGCAGUCAUCUGCAAGCUAGGAAGAGAGCUCUCACCAGGAACCAAAUUGGCUGGCUCUUUGACCCUGGACU
This is a long non-coding RNA of Diceros bicornis minor, 375 nucleotides long. RefSeq lists it as uncharacterized. The transcript is spliced from 3 exons. The record is from RefSeq and is a predicted model, not a curated record. NCBI's taxonomy places the organism in Eukaryota, Metazoa, Chordata, Mammalia, Perissodactyla, Rhinocerotidae.